This 44-nucleotide ribosomal RNA is filed under the name Eutreptiella gymnastica. RNAcentral describes it as "partial Eukaryotic large subunit ribosomal RNA". The record is from RNAcentral. Lineage: Eukaryota; Euglenozoa; Euglenophyceae; Eutreptiales; Eutreptiaceae.
GUUGAGUUUGACUCUAGUCUGACAUUGUGCAACGACACGGGGGG